This 129-nucleotide ribosomal RNA is filed under the name Salmonella enterica subsp. enterica serovar Typhi. RNAcentral's name for it is "partial 16S ribosomal RNA". It matches the Rfam family "Bacterial small subunit ribosomal RNA", at positions 1417 to 1533 of the family's 1533-position model. Lineage: Bacteria; Pseudomonadati; Pseudomonadota; Gammaproteobacteria; Enterobacterales; Enterobacteriaceae. The record is from RNAcentral.
GCAAAAGAAGUAGGUAGCUUAACCUUCGGGGGGGCGCUUACCACUUUGUGAUUCAUGACUGGGGUGAAGUCGUAACAAGGUAACCGUAGGGGAACCUGCGGUUGGAUCACCUCCUUACCUUAAAGAAGC